Molecule: long non-coding RNA, 3350 nt
Filed under: Triticum aestivum (bread wheat)
Lineage: Eukaryota; Viridiplantae; Streptophyta; Magnoliopsida; Poales; Poaceae
Description: long non-coding RNA (TAES_LNC010667)
Source: RNAcentral
CAAUGUGAAUUCCAAAACAGAACCCAGACAACAUAAACAGUAACAAAGGAGUAAAGACUAACAAUAUUGACAUAAUCUCAGUUAAAACAGUUCAAACUCUUUGAUUUCUACGGUAUUUGGAAGCUAUACAACCUAUUGAUAACAUAAUGUAGUCAGAAAUACACUAUUAAGGUGGCAAGAGGACCAUAAACGAAUCUGAUGUACUACUCCCUUCAAAUGUCUUGUUAUUUCAGUAGUACGGUCUGUACCUCAUAGAACUGCUGAAAAUUCAUCUACUUGGACACUUGUUCACCCUGCCAAACAAACAAGCAAAAGAACAAGUCCAAAUUGAGAUAGAAAAAAAAUAAAUGUACACGAAAGAUACAAGAUUGGUUCGAAUCAAGUAGCACAUUCUUCAGAUUAUAUGUACCACUACCUUAUAGCUCAGAUUAUAGGUAAGUAAACACCAUCCCAAUCGGCCAACCAACAACCAAUCGAACAACUCAACUAUAUAUUAAUUGCUAGUGUCCACUGCAAUCGGCAGUAGAAUGCCCCAGAAUUUGAAGUAGAUGAGACUCGCCUCUCUGACGAACCAACACAGCAGCUCGCACUCAGUGAUCCAUUACCCUGCCUACGACAAGGACACCUCCACCGGCUCAGUGAAGGGCUCCCUCGCCACCGGAAAGCAACAAUGUUAGAGACAAAAUCCAAGCGAUGAUAGAGAUGUGAAAAAUGGGUGGAAUGUUGAGAUCGAACUAGUAUGGUAAGUGAAUAUUUCAUCAGAGACAGAUGGGAACCGUACCACCCGCAAAAACUUGUCACCUAACAAUGCAUAUCCAUGGACGAUUUCUGUGGGAAAAUUAAAAGAACACACACCAAAGUACCAAAGUACAAAGUGAUUAAGUGAGAAUCCUAAAUAUUCCAAUGAGAAAGAACAUAAAGGGGACCAGUACCUGAAAUAUUGUGCAAUCAUAUCCAGAGCAGGUGAAGAAACACACAACAUACCGAUGAAUCCAAACCCUUAAAACCAUAUAGAUUUUUCUUUGUGCUAAUAUUCUGCAUCUGCAAGUCCUUCACUACCAAUGGUAAUAAUUACACUUGUCAGCACAAUAUAUAAGACAAAGAUACUAUUGUUCUCUUAAGAGAUAUAGAUAACCGAAAUAUAUGUAUAUAGGUAACUUACUUUGACGUACAAUAAAUAAGAAAUAGAUAGUAUUGUUCUCUUAAGACAAACCAUUUGAUCCCAUCGCUUCCAAGUCGCAAAUCUUUACUCGUUCUGUAGUUUUCUUGUCAGCCUUUAUAUUGUGAACGAAGCUUCUUUAUCCAACUGCCAAAUCUGAAUGUUGCUGCAAAACAGUAUACAGAAAUUAAAUGCAAAGGGCACUUAGUGAAUUUGUUGGAAGAUCCAUACUAAUACAACUGCCUGACAUACAUCAAUAGUACCAUCAGACACUCAUCUCCUGAGCCCUGACAGCUUUAGAAUCGUAAUGCAUUUUUGCUGCAUCAUUACCUUUUCUAUCACCAUCAACAGAUAGGCAGACCUGAAAGGUUUAAUGAUUGUCAAAAUUAUCACCCAAGAAUUAGAUUGCUGUAAAUGGAAGAAUAUCUAAAGAACAUCAGGGUGGGAACAUGGAAGAUAGAGAUCUACAAUAUCACAUGUUCAAGUUUCUUAAUAACCAUAGUAUUAUGCUAUUCAAUUAAACAAAGGGAAAAAGAAUAUGCUCUAGAUAGUAUUAAGCUAUCAGUAAGGUAGACCCGUCUGGAUCUAAGCAAUCAUACUGGAUCAAUAAAUGGGUUUUGAUGGACUAAUGAUGUAUUUUAGGUAAGUAUCCAGGCAUCAUGUGGCCAUAAGAAACUUUAUAUAGAUGUCAAGUGCAUGUCAUGCUUCUCAAGAUAUAAGGGAAUUUUCAAUCAAUCUAAUGGAGUUGCAGAACCUUCUUCACUUCGCAGGAUCUGAUGAACACAUAGGAACAUGAAAAAUAGAGUAAUAUAUAUCCUGACAUUUGGAAUCGUACAUGAACCAGGAAAAACACAAACUUUCUAUCGAGUUAUGACACCAAAACAUGCUAGAAAUUCUAUUGAAUCGUGGUGUUGGCGAACAGUCAAGAGGAAUUUAGGAGUGGUUACUCCUCUGAAUCAAAAGUACUCUAGAAAAAACGUCUAUAGGUUGGAAUCCUACAAAUUGCUUAAAAAUUCCUUUGAACCAAAGAAGCACAUAGUGUAGGAAAACAAUCCACACAAUUUUGGGGAAUUCAUCCCUUUGAACUAAAUGGUUUCGAGAAUUCCGCAUGGAUUGGAAUCUUACAAAAAUUCUUUGACCAAAGGGCACGCUGGUUCCAUACCUCUUCCUCAAGCAUACUUUUCGCCGCUGCUUUCACAUAGGUUUUCGACUGUUCAACUUCUGUUCAUACUAUGAACAAAAACAUCGCAUUUCUAUAGAAAAUGCAUCAGCAACCAUGAACCAAGCCUUGGGUGCAACCAUAUAAGCAAUAUACAGAAAUUGGCAAAACACGUCAAAAUGCAAGAAAGUGACUGUAUUUUCACAAAGUUCUUCCUCAAAAUUCUUCCUCUUCUUUAUCAAACCCGCAGGCGUUGUGUUUAGAAAAAACAUAAAUUGAGAAAUUAGAAUAAAAUCAUCACAGAGAAUCAUGUAGUAAAAACUAAGAGAAAGAUGAUGGGAUUGGGGACACUCCUCAAACUUUAUGUUGUAGUUCUAUGACUAUAUCCGAGUCUUUUGCCUUUUUUCAAACUACACCACAAAUUAGUUUCUAGACAACUGAAUCUGCCAAGAAAAUUCAAUUUUAUUUUUAGUUUGGAGGUCCUGCAGUCUGCAGAUAUAACAUUAGAGAGCAGUAUAAGUUGAAACAAAAAUGAAGUACCUGAUCUGUUGUGACCUUAGUUUCAACAGAUUCUCACUUAACUCUCACACUCUGAGUAUUGCUCCUCCUACAACAGAAAAUGGCUGCAUAAGAACACAUGAGUUCAUGUAGGAUAGAGUUGUGUUCUGGUAUUGGUUAGUUCAACAAAAAAUAAGAGAGUAACAGAGGGCAUCAAACUGAUUUGCAUAGUUGUAGCUACCUCUGCACAAAUAUAAUUCUUGCAUCAUGUGCAUCGCAGUUACCUUGACCAACAACAAUAAUAAUAAUUCUCCCUGUCAUCAAAUUCUCACCAGAAUAAGAUCAGCUGCAGGUAAAAAUUCAAGCUAAUGAUUGACGUACACCAAAUUUUUUUAGUCACCCUCGCUUCACUGUAAGAAAUAUAGCCUAGUUCCACCAUGAUUAUAUGAAGCAAAACGACAUAAACCGGCUUAGAUCGAAGGAACCCAAUGAGUCUUGCUGCAAAGAUGGGGGAGAAUGAUUGGUAAAGCUGAC